CAGUUGCGUUACAAGUUAUGAACCUGCGGUAUUUGUUUGUCGCUGUCUUAGGUCAGAGGCCAAGCCAGCUAAUUAGCUGAGAGACUUAAAUAGAUAUCCCCGUUUUUUUCAGCUAAUCAGACAGUCCAGGCACAAAGUUCAGAAUUUCCAGCUCCAACUUAAUUAACUCAGUGAAUUUAUUGGAAAAAUAAAAGUUUUAAUUACUCCAGUUAACGGGUUUCACGUUAAAUAGGUAUAACUUUCAAGGUACUUCUCUGAAGAACUGCUCACAGGAUGAUAUGUGGAAGUCAUUUCCUUAGGAAAAACAAAAGUUGAACAAUAAAUAAGAGGAGUUACUUGCGUUAACAGUCACGUUAUUCAUUAAAAGAGAAAAGUAGCAGAAAUCUAUGACAUAGUUUGCCCAGCAUGGCAUUAUAACUGCUGUAACCAAAUGGCUGUAACACUGAUGGGCAUUUCACAGUACCUGCAUUUAGUAAACUUCUGCCAUUGUUAAGUCAGAGUUAGCUUUAUCAAUGGGUUCUUUUUUCUUUCUUUCUUUUUUUUUUUCCUUUUCCUUUUUUUUUCUUUUUUUUUUCUAUUUUUAUUUUUAUCAUGUUUUUAAUCACUGGUUUUGCUUUCCAGAGCACUCUUUCCCAGUUCAGGAAUGCACUGUGCAUUUUUGGGGAGGGGGGGGGGGGUGAAAUGUCACAGUCAUCUUUCACCUGUGUGCUUUUGGCUCAAUGUUUGUGAUGGAGAGCUAGUCCUUUGAGCAAAGAACUGAAGGGCUGUGGGGGCGAGUCCUGCAAUUGCAAACCUUCAACCAUAGGUCAUAUGGCUCGGGUUAAAAAAAUAUUCCACUUUUCCCAGAGAGCAGAAACAACACGUCCUCAGCUUGCAACAACCAUCUUCUCAGAGGAGCAGUUGCAGAACACUGGCUUUGAAGGGCAACUUCUGCUUAACUGCUGUUCUCCCCCCACCCACCCCACUGUGAUUAUGUACACGCGUCAUUGGGCUUCAUGGAUGUGGAGAGCGGAGCAAAGGAAGGUUUGGGAGGUACAUCUGGCUUUAGCGAGGGCGUGCGUUUCAACCCUGACCUGGUCAGAGAAUUGUACGUGGUGAGACUCGGCUGUCGAGAUACAGUCAUGGCCUGUGCCUGUGCAGCAUGGACUUGUAUGGAGUCCACCCGCUGUGGAGCUGGCGGUGGGUUGUCACCCCUGCCGAAGCUCUGAUUUCGAGAGAGGUGUGAUGAGUUAGAGGAGUUGGUGUUGUUUCUUUUGAGGGUCGACGCCUGGUGACUUCUUGUGAGUGAGUUUGUAGGGUAGUUUCUCUUGUAGUCCACGCUGUAAGCAGAAGAAUGCAUGUCCAGCCGCUUGCUCAGGCCACUCUGAGACAGGGAGGUGCUCGGCGGCCCGAGUGAGGCUUCCCGCUGAGGUACCUUUGGCGGCAUGCUGUCAAGAUUUUCCACCAGGUUAACCCCAUGGCUGGGGCUUUUGCUACUGAGAUGGUCCUUGAUGGUUUUGUACUCAAGGGUGGCAUUCUGGUCCUCCACGGACAUCUGAGCCCCGUCGCUCAUUUUUGGCUGGUCAACAUACUCGUGUUGGUAGCCUUGCUGGGCAAUGGGCAGAACCAUGACACUGGGAAUGUGGCUAGGAGAAGCCCUGAGUGGCAGGUCAGUUGGGAUCACGGGUGAGGCCAUUGGUGGGAUAUCUUUUGUGCAGGCAUUGAUGAGGUUCUGGUUUCUUUCCCAUUCUCUACUGCCACGGCUGGGCUUCCUUUUCUGCUGCAGGGUUGGGGUGGAUUCCGGGGUUGGCAGGGCAGCCAGGUCCAGAUGGUGCUGGUCAGCCUUGAUUAGCAUCUUGGUAGUGCUGCCUGGUGUAGCCAACUUGCCAUUGUGCAUCAAAGGUGUGAGGAUAGCUUCAGGCUUUGGUUCUUUGGACUGAGCAUCUCCAAAGAGGCCGCUGAGCUUGGUUACACUGCUCAUGGAGCCGCGGCGGGAGUGGGUCAGUUCCUUCUCCUUUCUCUGCACAACAGCCACAUCUCUGCGGCGAUGGUCACAGAUACAGUACACUAUGAUGCCCGAAAAGACGGCCCCCAUUACAAAAGCUAGAAUUACUGCAAUUGCCAACAGGGUGACCGGCACCAGCUGAUCAUGACCCUUCAGGCAGUUGCCAUGGAAGUUAUUAUGCUGUCACAGAGGAUUGCGGUUCCAUGAGAAUAAAGAGCUGGAGCAGAUGAUCCCUCAUGAAGCUUAGAUUCUGCAGUCAUACAAACGUCUUCACAGUCAAGGAUACUACAGUUAGCUGCGGUAUGGAUACAAAGACACCUCUGUUCCAGAAAUGAUUUAUGGCCUUGAGAGGUAUACACCGGACAAUGAGGCAACCGCAUACCACGUGCAUCAAGAACACUCUGUGAUCAUCCCUGCAGGGAGCUGUCAUUGUCUAGUUUUCCAGCGUUGUCACUGACAGAUGAAACAGGAUGAAAAAAAAAAACAACAGAUGACAUUAAACUGGACACCCAGAAUUGAAGCAAUAGCAAGUUCAUGGACGACUAGAGUUUAGCAUGCUGAAAGUGCUGCAUUCUGAGAUAUUAUUCUUCUUGAAGAGGUAACUUCAAAGUUUGAAAUAAACGAACCACACCAUAAGGCCAACGAUUUGAUAUCAGCCACAUUACUGGAAGUGCUGUGCUGGAAAAGGCAAGUAACUUCUUUCCUUUAUCUAUCUUCCAGCUGCGAGGCCUCGUUCUGAAGACUCAGUGCAGGUCUACCCACUAUCCAUUUUUCCUAUCUCUUUUUUUUUUUUUUCUGGACUGUCAUUGUUAACUGAUGGAAAAAGUAUUAACUGAAAUACUCAUCAUUAAAGCUGC
This 2841-nucleotide long non-coding RNA is filed under the name Gallus gallus (chicken). Its description in RNAcentral is "long non-coding RNA NONGGAT012086". Lineage: Eukaryota; Metazoa; Chordata; Aves; Galliformes; Phasianidae. The record is from RNAcentral.